RNAcentral lists this long non-coding RNA (287 nucleotides) under Ananas comosus (pineapple). RNAcentral's name for it is "long non-coding RNA (ACOM_LNC021640)". Lineage: Eukaryota; Viridiplantae; Streptophyta; Magnoliopsida; Poales; Bromeliaceae. The record is from RNAcentral.
GUAUUAUAUAUAAAUGGCGAAAUUUCAGAUCAUUCAUCUGAUCUCUCUUUCUCUUUCUCUUUCUCUUUCUCUCUCAACACCUGUGAGCUUCUGAGAGUUGAAUAAAAUAAGAUGGAGAUAAGCUUAUAAAUACUCCCCAUGAAGGUUUUAGGUCUAGUCGCCGGCUCCAAUUAUCGAUUCGGAAUCUCUAUCAUCAAGAACUAUUUGAUAGGACAAGUGCUACUAUCCUAUUAAUAGAAUAGUACCUCUAGCCUAUAUAUAUAUAUAUAUAUAUAUAUAUAUAUAUA